GGGAAUGUGGCUUAGUGGUAGAGCGCUUGCCUAGCAUGCAUUAAGCCCUGGGUUUGAUUCCGCAGUACCA
RNAcentral lists this transfer RNA (70 nucleotides) under Dipodomys ordii (Ord's kangaroo rat). It matches the Rfam family "tRNA". Rfam says of the family: Transfer RNA (tRNA) molecules are approximately 80 nucleotides in length. Their secondary structure includes four short double-helical elements and three loops (D, anti-codon, and T loops). Lineage: Eukaryota; Metazoa; Chordata; Mammalia; Rodentia; Heteromyidae. The record is from Rfam by way of RNAcentral.